RNAcentral lists this ribosomal RNA (515 nucleotides) under uncultured bacterium. Its description in RNAcentral is "partial 16S ribosomal RNA". It matches the Rfam family "Bacterial small subunit ribosomal RNA", at positions 29 to 523 of the family's 1533-position model. The record is from RNAcentral.
AACGAACGCUGGCGGCGUGCCUAAUACAUGCAAGUCGAGCGAAUGGAUUGAGAGCUUGCUCUUAUGAAGUUAGCGGCGGACGGGUGAGUAACACGUGGGUAACCUGCCCAUAAGACUGGGAUAACUCCGGGAAACCGGGGCUAAUACCGGAUAACAUUUUGAACCGCAUGGUUCGAAAUUGAAAGGCGGCUUCGGCUGUCACUUAUGGAUGGACCCGCGUCGCAUUAGCUAGUUGGUGAGGUAACGGCUCACCAAGGCAACGAUGCGUAGCCGACCUGAGAGGGUGAUCGGCCACCCGGGGACUGAGACACGGCCCAGACUCCUACGGGAGGCAGCAGUAGGGAAUCUUCCGCAAUGGACGAAAGUCUGACGGAGCAACGCCGCGUGAGUGAUUAAGGCUUUCGGGUCGUAAAACUCUGUUGUUAGGGAAGAACAAGUGCUAGUUGAAUAAGCUGGCACCUUGACGGUACCUAACCAGAAAGCCACGGCUAACUACGUGCCAGCCGCCGCCGUAA